Molecule: unclassified non-coding RNA, 1274 nt
Filed under: Hevea brasiliensis (rubber tree)
Lineage: Eukaryota; Viridiplantae; Streptophyta; Magnoliopsida; Malpighiales; Euphorbiaceae
Source: RNAcentral
UGGAUGACCAGGGCUGGGUAUCUAUUAAAUUAAUAGCAGGCUUCAACAAAGUUUCACAUUUGACUGACAAUAUCCAGUUUAUAUUGGAGGCUAUAAGAAGUUCAUCUGUUGUUGAAGUACAGGGCGACAAAGUAAGGAGGCGAAACGAUUGGAUGAGAUGGAUAAUGCCACCUUCUAUUCAGUUUCCAAGUGUUUCAGGUCCUCCGUCACUUAGGAGGUCCAGUCAUGACAUGCUGGCAGCCCAUGUCCAAAGUAUUUCAUUGGAGGAGAAUGCUGCUAGCCACAGCAGUGGAAGGAGUCCAGCAGAUGUGCAUAAUGAAGCAUUUAUCGGCAGAUCUUCAUCUGGGGAAUUGAAUAGCCAGUCGCUUGUAUCUACUACUGAAGGAACAGGUCAAGUCAGUGUACGGGGAGGUUCAGAUUCAUCUACUUGAGCAAGAAAUUUGAGCAAGUAAAACGUGUGCUGUGGCACAUUCUACUGGAACUUCUUGGUAGAAGGUGGGGAGUGAUGGCUUUGAUUGCAGUGGUGGAUGUCUCGUCUUUUCUUGGUGGUAGUGGUCUUGCCUUGGCGCGAUGAAACACAGUUUCUCGUGGGGCAAUUAGAAAGACAAGUAGAAGGAAAGCAAAAGAAAACUUUUUAGACAGACGAAAAACUGAAAGGGAUAAAAAAAAUAUAUUAUAUAAAAAAAAGACAGAAAUGAAAAACAUUUAUAACUAGAGCUAGUAGCAUGAGUUUACUGGGAUGUAUCUAUGGUUUUUGUUGAGGGGGGGAUGGGGGGUAUUGUGUUUUUUUUAUUGUGUUUUUUUAUCCCAUAAAUGUUUGUGGUGGCCUAUUUGGUGUUAUUAAUGGGGGAAUUUUGGUUUUGCAUCCCCGUGUUGCCCGCCAGCUGGGUUUUAAAAAUCUCUGGGAUCAGAUCAUCUCCGAUUAGAGGAGGUAAAUAUAUCAUUUCUGAGAGAUGGAACAAAAGAAUAUAGUUCGUUUCGAGUCUUCGUGCUGUGAGGAGAGAGUGGCUUUUAUGGGAUGCUGCGGCUUUUGCUAUGAUCUGGCUGUUUAGGUUUCUCGUAACACAUUAUAUUUAUAAUUGCAUUUAUAUGUAUACCUUCUUCAUACCUUUUGAAGAUUUCACUGCAUAAAAUGGUCCUCUCAGUGAAACCAUGGCAACAUCUAGUUUCAGGGCUGGAUGUGUUUGACGUUAUAUUUGUGUUAAAUUUAAGACUUAGAUUGUGGAAUUUGGCCAUAUACGAAUGAUUUUAUUAUGUUUAUUAAUUCAUAUCGG